GUUUAUGUAUGGCAUUAUCAGUAAAGAAGUUCUGAGUAAACACGUUGACGUUGAUACCGCUUCUCUGCCGAACCUUAUAUUAGUGCCUCAUGCAGUCAUGUCUCAGUUUUAUCUAUGAAAACGCCUGCGGGCGCAGAAAACACUCUAAGGAAUUUUGCAAAUGGCAAAGAUUAAAGGUCAAGUUAAGUGGUUCAACGAGUCUAAAGGUUUUGGUUUCAUUACUCCGGCUGACGGCAGCAAAGAUGUAUUCGUACACUUCUCUGCAAUCCAGGGUAACGGCUUCAAAACUCUGGCUGAAGGUCAGAACGUUGAGUUCGAAAUUCAGGACGGCCAGAAAGGCCCAGCGGCUGUUAACGUAACCGCU
This 364-nucleotide small RNA is filed under the name Kluyvera ascorbata. Its description in RNAcentral is "cspA thermoregulator". It matches the Rfam family "cspA thermoregulator", at positions 17 to 369 of the family's 428-position model. Lineage: Bacteria; Pseudomonadati; Pseudomonadota; Gammaproteobacteria; Enterobacterales; Enterobacteriaceae. The record is from RNAcentral.